Molecule: long non-coding RNA, 573 nt
Filed under: Androctonus crassicauda
Lineage: Eukaryota; Metazoa; Arthropoda; Arachnida; Scorpiones; Buthidae
Source: RNAcentral
AUUGACUAACGCCAUGCAAUAGCUAUGCUCCCUUCGUUAUGGCCGAAUAUCGUUCGAGUCAUCUCCACGAAGUUUGGCGUUCCCACCAAGAGAAGCAAGCAUCCCCCAGUCUAUGAGGACAGUCCCCAUCAGACCCAGGCAACUACCUCUAGAACUUGCACCGUCUCAGCCGACAUAUGUCUCAGCCAUUCAUCCCUUCAGUACAGUAAGCUACAUUGGAUUUGGGACUCUUUUAGAGGACUCGUACUUCACGCAAAGCAUGCAGCGGACAUAUUCUUUAUCCCGAACAUGCAGGGACUGUGCGGUUGAGUGGCGAACUACAGACCAUUCAUUGGCGAGCAGUGAAUGCAACCAGGCUCUACCGACCAAUGGGCGAAUUUCUUCAAUUGAGAUCGUGUAUGGAUUACCCGGCGACGGUUUAUCCGAGCAUCACCGAUAUCAUAGGUCCUUUCUGUAUAAAAUCAGACGAGGUCCAAGACGAAUCAAUCUCGUGACGGUCUACUCUAGUUCACCCAAAAUAUUUAGGCUCGUCGCCGGGUGCAUUAACAUCUACAUAUGCCACAUCAGAGUGUA